AAGCCUGAUCCAGCCAUGCCGCGUGAGUGAAGAAGGCCUUCGGGUUGUAAAGCUCUUUCAGAUGCGAAGAUGAUGACGGUAACAUCAGAAGAAGCCCCGGCUAAUUUCGUGCCAGCAGCCGCGGUAAUACGAAAGGGGCAAGCGUUGUUCGGAUUUACUGGGCGUAAAGGGCACGCAGGCGGUCUUGCCAGUCAGGGGUGAAAGCCCGGGGCUCAACCCCGGAACUGCCUCUGAUACUGCAGGACUAGAGACUAGGAGAGGGUGGUGGAAUUCCCAGUGUAGAGGUGAAAUUCGUAGAUAUUGGGAGGAACACCAGAGGCGAAGGCGGCCACCUGGACUAGAUCUGACGCUCAGGUGCGAAAGCGUGGGGAGCAAACAGGAUUAGAUACCCUGGUAGUCCACGCCGUAAACGAUGAGUGCUAGUUGUCGGGAUUUCGAUUUCGGUGACGCAGCUAACGCAUUAAGCACUCCGCCUGGGGAGUACGGUCGCAAGAUUAAAACUCAAAGGAAUUGACG
This 516-nucleotide ribosomal RNA is filed under the name unidentified bacterium U62. RNAcentral describes it as "bacterial SSU rRNA". It matches the Rfam family "Bacterial small subunit ribosomal RNA", at positions 379 to 915 of the family's 1533-position model. The record is from RNAcentral.